CGACUCUCGGCAACGGAUAUCUCGGCUCACGCAUCGAUGAAGAACGUAGCAAAAUGCGAUACUUGGUGUGAAUUGCAGAAUCCCGUGAACCAUCGAGUUUUUGAACGCAAGUUGCGCCCGAAGCCUUUUGGCUGAGGGCACGUCUGCCUGGGCGUCACGC
This 160-nucleotide ribosomal RNA is filed under the name Foveolina albida. RNAcentral's name for it is "5.8S ribosomal RNA". It matches the Rfam family "5.8S ribosomal RNA". From Rfam's summary of the family: 5.8S ribosomal RNA (5.8S rRNA) is a component of the large subunit of the eukaryotic ribosome. The record is from RNAcentral. Lineage: Eukaryota; Viridiplantae; Streptophyta; Magnoliopsida; Asterales; Asteraceae.